GGAACCGCCUAAGACACCACCCCAGCCAGCAUGGCCGGCAGGAGCGCACCGCGCUGUCUCCCUCCAGGGAUCCGCACCGCCCUACAAUCCUGCUUUGUGCUGAGAUUGUAGUCCUGCAGGCGUACAACUAACAAGCUGGGUGCAGAUAAGAGACUACAGCUCCCCGCAUCCCAAGCAAAGGUCCCUCCUCUACGGAGCCCCUCCACGCGUCCACUGCGGUUCCGCCGUGCCAAGGGGAGCUUGGCUGUUCACGGGCCUCACCUGCUAGCGAGAAGAUAGCUUGGCCGGGCGGCUGAUCUCACCUUGUAAUUCUGACACUGUGUCUCCCGGGCUUGUCGGCUUCAUGACUUGUGCCCAAAGUUUGAUUUCUCGCAGACCAGGUAAAAGCCAAGAGGCUCUCAUAGGCGCCUUGGCAGAGUUGCCAUUGGAACGGGCGUCCUCUAGUAGCUGGGAUCUCCCCGCCCCUUCCUCCUGAGGGGCCACUCCUUUCUGCCCCACCCUUCUUAUUGCCCCACCCUUUGCCACACUCCUUCAGAGAUGCGCAGUGCUGCCCCUUUCUAUGGGCAGGGCCGAAGGUCCGCGUGUAAAAGUACCCAGUCCCUGGUAACCUGACACUUCCCUUUUAAAAGCCACCUUUUGUCUAUCUCUGGCCUGCCACGAUUCUUCCUGUGCUCCAUAGGAGGACCCAUUGGACCCCCGGGCUGGCUGCAGGGCCCACACCUGGGUUAGACCUCGCACAGGGACGCUGCUGCCACUGUAAUAAAGCGUGCCUACACGCUUCUGAAACUGGUGUAGGAACAACCUCAGUUCUGUGAAAGGCGGACGCAGCAGGACAGAAUCUCCGUGGACAUCUGUCUGGAGGAGCAAUUUUACUGCGACAUUUUAAAGAAACAAAUUUAAUUGAUUUCCAAGACUGGAGUGGGUUCAUAUUUAUCAUGCUGGAAGGAGUGUAGAAAAAUAGAGGAAUGAAGAAGGAAAACAACGCAAGUCAUUCUAUGUACUGUGGAAACAAACUGACAGUGGGUUUAGAAAAAAACAACAGAGGAAGAAGGUCUGAGUAGUCCCAGGUAAUUGGGAAACCGAGAAGGGAAGACCACUCGGGUGAGACCAGGGAGAUCGAAGCCACAGUAAAUCACGAUCACAUCCCUCUGCUGGACCUGAACGGUACUGCCGCCUGCAAGAGCCAUCUGGUCGACCUUAGACAUGACAAGGCGAGAACCAUCUGGUCAACCUUAGACAUGGCACUCUUGUGGCUAAGUCCAACUCUAGUUGCUGAAAUACGUCUCAAAAAAACAAAAACAA
Molecule: long non-coding RNA, 1302 nt
Filed under: Homo sapiens (human)
Lineage: Eukaryota; Metazoa; Chordata; Mammalia; Primates; Hominidae
Description: long intergenic non-protein coding RNA 662
Source: RNAcentral